ACAUCAACCUCUUGAAACAGUUAUUCUUUUGGGACCCGUAGCAUAUGUGUAGACAUGUGCACACAAAGAUAGAAGAUAUGCAAGUUCAUCAUGGAAGAAAGAAGGCAGACCAGCUCCAUGAACCAAGGUGCAGCUCCCAGCUCACUAUACUUGAGGCCACUGCAGUGCCACUUCACAUGGUGCAGGAGUAAACAUUGACCUUGCAGGUCUGAAAACAUCUGCCUUUAGUUAUUUCUCAUUUUGGAGAAAGAAGAUUUUGAAACUGAAGAUUUAAGUAAUUUGCCAGAGUCAGAAUGCUGUAAGCAUCAGAACUCGAUUUUCGAACUUAAGUUUAUCUGACUCAAAAGCUUUUGCCUUUCACCACCACCCUAUUGCUUCUAAAAUGUCAAACAUCGGCUGAACCACAGGACAGGUAUCCUAUAAAUGAGGAGGAUGUGGAUGCACCCCCAUGUGUACGUAAGGACACACGAGCUAAAGGCUUUACCUGACCCAGUAAAAGUGUCAAGCGCUCCAUCUCCAGUCGUGGCUGUGGUUUCACUGCUGUUCAAGGGCUCUGUUUUGACUGCAAGAAGAGACACUACGUAGAAGAAUAAGUACAUGCUGGCUGGGAGAUGUGGCUCCUCUCCGCGGCACAGUGUCUAUAUCACUGAUCAGGUGGACAGAUAGUCCCAGAAGGAGGCCCUCACCAACCCAUUUCCCCAGACACAGUCAGAACUGGGGUCAGCUGCAGAGAUGGGAACCGCAAGAGGAAGGAGACCCUUAACAAGGACCAGGAAAGUGGUGUAUGCAUAAAGAAAGGAAGCUGUUCUUGAAAUGUGCCAGUGACCUCAUCCCUGUCCCUGAGGCCAGCAUGAGUGCUUGCAGUGCAAGUGACCCAUCUGCCAGGGUGACCUCAGGCCUCGGACUAACAGCAAAUAAAGCCAUGAACACACUGUUCUCUGGACACUUUUGCAAUUUUUCCUUUCCAGGGCCUACAGCUCUAGACUUGAGACCUGCAACUCUUCCCCUUUGUUCACUAUGACUCUAACAAAUUUAAAACAUGUCAGUUCUCUCCAACCCCAAGAAAUGUGAAUAAAUGUUUCCGAAAACCAGAAGCAUUUCCCUAAAUUUUUGUUUUUAAAAGUCCCCCUUAAUCGGAAAACAAAGAAAUAAACAAAAAUCCAAUGGAUUUUCCAAGCAUUAUUUGAAUGGCACAGGAUUCACUUUCUGUCAGAUCAGUUCAAACCAUCAUUAAUGAAGCAGAAAAUUAUUUUCCUCUAGCAAGUAGUGGAGUAAAGCCAUAAGACCACAAUCAAAACAUUUAAUGCCAUCAAUUGUACUAAGAAACAUAUCACUGUUUUUUUCUAAGAAAAAACUCUACCAGUAAAGAUCAAACUGUUCACAGGAUAAACAAAUCUAGGUUUCCCAAUGUUGUACUAACAAGAGCAAAGCAUUGAUAUAAUGUACAAAAAAAAGGUGGUAACCUAUUAAAAUGAUCAGAUUUCCAGUUCUGAAGGGACAUUAAAUGUCCUCAAAAGCAAAAUGGAAUAUUGUGCUUAAGGCUAUGAGAGCAGUGUUAAGAGUCUCUACUGUCAACUAAAACCUGAAUUUUAAACUCUGCCUCAUUUACCAGUCAUGGGACCUUAGUCUCAAUAUUGGAGAUAAUAAUAUCCUCUGGAAGGCUAAUGUGUGAAUUAAAUAAGAUCACACAAAAAAAAGUAUCCAAAGGUUGGCCUACAGUGCAUCCUUCAUAAAUUUUAUUACUACAAUCACUUCUACAACACAGACAAUAAAACAGCCUGGUUUGUCUAUUUGAAAACUUGUAGUGUCAAGAAAAUCAUUUUCUUAAGAGGCAGCCCUUUCAUUUUCAGAUAACUUAUACUAUCAGAAAGUUUUCUAUCCGGGGCUUCCCUGAAACUUUGGUCCAAGAAAAUUCAUUUAUUGUCAUGGGUCAAGUCUAAACCUUCUUUCAUAUAACAGUCUUUCACACAUCAAUGACCUGUCCUGCCCAAGAGCUUUUUCUCUCUCAGGGAGGGCAUCUCCAAUUCCCUCAGUCCACUCAGUCCAUCUCAAACUCUUUUACUUUCCUAGCAUUCUCUUCCAUAAGAUCUCCAGGAUUCUUCUUUAACAGUGGUCCCCAUAGUCACACAGUUGUGGUCCAAAAUAUGGCAAGGCUAUUACAACUCUCACUUGUCAGUGUAGACUGAAGAGUACAUUAGCUUUGUCCUCAGACACUGUGCAGUCCUAAUUCAUGCCUAAACCCAGCCAGUGAAAUUCUCAAGUCUUUGUCCCAUGUGAUGCUUGAGAGCCCUGUGUCCUCCCAGUCGCUCACUACACAUGCAGUUGGCAUUUGGGACCCGAGUGAACAGCUUUUCAUGUGUUUCUCCUAAAUGCCAUCUUGUUGGACUUGAGUCCAUUGUUUCAGCCUGUCUGUUAGAUUCUGAUUCUGCUGUUCAAUGUCCUCUUUCCCAGUGAAGUUCCUAUCUCACCUACAAACUUUCUUAGCAUGCCCUCAAUGCCCUCACAAUAAACAUGUUGGCCAGCCACAGUGGCUCACGCCUGUAAUCCCAGCAUUUUGGGAGGCCAAGGUGGGUGGAUCAUGAGGUCAAGAG
This 2591-nucleotide long non-coding RNA is filed under the name Homo sapiens (human). RNAcentral's name for it is "HSALNT0336996". Lineage: Eukaryota; Metazoa; Chordata; Mammalia; Primates; Hominidae. The record is from RNAcentral.